RNA transcript from Chionomys nivalis (European snow vole), 822 nucleotides. It is a transcript of the gene named lin-7 homolog B, crumbs cell polarity complex component, with no coding region annotated. Lineage: Eukaryota; Metazoa; Chordata; Mammalia; Rodentia; Cricetidae. The record is from RefSeq and is a predicted model, not a curated record. The transcript has 6 exons.
GGGCCUCGUGCGGCACCUCCUCCUUGCUGUCGCCCGGGCGGGUGGCUUGCGUUGGCCGCGAUAUGGCUGCACUGGUGGAGCCGCUGGGACUGGAGCGGGACGUGUCCCGGGCCGUGGAGCUGCUGGAGCGGCUGCAACGCAGCGGGGAGCUGCCCCCGCAGAAGCUGCAGGCCCUGCAGCGGGUCCUGCAGAGCCGUUUCUGUUCUGCCAUCCGCGAGGUGUAUGAGCAGCUCUAUGACACGCUGGAUAUCACUGGCAGCGCUGAGGUGCGGGCUCACGCCACAGCCAAGGCCACAGUGGCUGCCUUCACAGCCAGUGAGGGCCAUGCACAUCCCAGGGUCGUGGAACUACCGAAGACUGAUGAGGGUUUGGGCUUCAACAUCAUGGGUGGCAAAGAGCAGAACUCACCCAUCUACAUCUCUCGAGUCAUCCCUGGAGGCGUGGCUGAUCGCCAUGGUGGCCUCAAGAGGGGAGACCAGCUGCUGUCCGUGAAUGGUGUGGGUGGUAAGGGCAGCGGUUUGGGUCAGCAGUCUGUGCGAGGCCUGCCCUGCAGAGUGUGGAGGGCGAACACCAUGAAAAAGCCGUGGAACUCCUGAAGGCCGCCCAGAGCUCAGUGAAACUGGUGGUGCGGUACACCCCGCGGGUGCUGGAGGAGAUGGAGGCCCGCUUUGAGAAGAUGCGGUCUGCCCGGAGGCGCCAGCAACACCACAGCUACACGUCUUUGGAGUCCCGAGGCUGAAAUCAGAGAGCAGGACCCUCCACCUCCCCUGUACAGUAUUAUUUAUUGUCACUGGCACCGUAUUUAAAGAUCUUUAACCCUCA